UAAUAUUCUGUAUAAAUCAAACCAAAGAACUGUAUAAGAAAGAUGUAGUAUUCUGUAUAAAACAAACCAACGAACUGUAUGACAAGGAUGAUGUAGUAUU
Long non-coding RNA from Limulus polyphemus (Atlantic horseshoe crab), 100 nucleotides. RefSeq lists it as uncharacterized. The transcript has 3 exons. NCBI's taxonomy places the organism in Eukaryota, Metazoa, Arthropoda, Merostomata, Xiphosura, Limulidae. The record is from RefSeq and is a predicted model, not a curated record.